GCUUGAUAUACAUAAUGGUCUGCAACAAGGGUAGUGAUGCCCUCUACUGGAUUCUCUUAAUAUUUCUAGUGCUACUCUUCUCUUCCGACAUAGCAUUUGCUAGAGUAUCACCAUUUUCAACAAACAAAGAAAACACCUGGCUGCACUGGCAAAUGAAAAUACGUGUAAGGAGUCCUCAUGAUCCUCCCAAAGGGCAGCACCCUAAGAACACACCCCCACCACCUGACGACAUUGCUUGACGCAACGGUUAUCUCGAUCCCAGCCGUAUGUGGAAUUGUUUCUGCCUUCGUUUGCGAUCUCUUCAAGCUUUUGUUUUGUACUUCUGGAAUUUUUUUUUUUUUUUUAAUAAGAUUGUGCUUCUAGAAUUUGGUUUAGAGUGAGGGGUCUCUAUCCUUAUGUAUUCAGACA
This is a long non-coding RNA of Rosa chinensis, 408 nucleotides long. RefSeq lists it as uncharacterized. Lineage: Eukaryota; Viridiplantae; Streptophyta; Magnoliopsida; Rosales; Rosaceae. The record is from RefSeq and is a predicted model, not a curated record. The transcript is spliced from 3 exons.